AUUGAACGCUGGCGGCAGGCCUAACACAUGCAAGUCGAGCGAGCGGCGGACGGGUGAGUAAUGUCUGGGAAACUGCCUGAUGGAGGGGGAUAACUACUGGCAACGGUAGCUAAUAUCGCAUACAAUCAGAUGGGCCCAGAUGGGAUUAGCUAGUAGGUGGGGUAACGGCUCACCUAGGCGACGAUCCCUAGCUGGUGUGAGAGGAUGACCAGCCACACUGGAACUGAGACACGGUCCAGACUCCUACGGGAGGCAGCAGUGGGGAAUAUUGCACAAUGGGGGAAAGCCUGAUGCAGCCAUGCCGCGUGUGUGAUGAAGGCCUUCAGGUUGUAAAGCACUUUCAGCGGGGAAGCGUUACCCGCAGAAGAAGCACCGGCUAACUCCGUGCCAGCAGCCGCGGUAAUAC
RNAcentral lists this ribosomal RNA (406 nucleotides) under uncultured bacterium. RNAcentral's name for it is "partial 16S ribosomal RNA". It matches the Rfam family "Bacterial small subunit ribosomal RNA", at positions 30 to 526 of the family's 1533-position model. The record is from RNAcentral.